This 26-nucleotide non-coding RNA is filed under the name Homo sapiens (human). Lineage: Eukaryota; Metazoa; Chordata; Mammalia; Primates; Hominidae. The record is from RNAcentral.
UGCAGGGAUGGUUCUGCGAUGUCAGA